UUUCUAAUCACGAUCACUGAUUACCAAUAAUGCAAGGGUAACUACCACAUUGAUUUAUAAAAUGUUAAUGUGCACCAACGGCAUAACGUAGAUGGUAUUGACUGACGUACUUGUGACAGGAACCAUGCACAUGUGGCUGCGCUUGGUCACGAGUAAACUUGGGAGUUCGACGACUAUUACCUGGUGUGUACUUUGCGGGAGAAAUAAGGGUGUGUUGCCGGAACCCACGUUUGAAGUAAGAUUAGUCGAGUGGGGGCGCUAUCCCCUGGUUUUGGACCUGGAUAACUGAUAUUCCUCUCAGAGAUUGCGCAUUGUGGGAGGGAAAUACACUAUUUCUGUCCUCACCUACAAGCUACGAUCGAGAAAGCGCCCUCUGUCGAUCUGUUCCCUCAUUUGAGGCGGUUUUUAUUUUCAGGUAAAAGUUGUCUCAUUUAAAGGAGCGCCCUCUCUCGUUAUGUUUUCCCAUGGUUUUCCAAAUAAGCCAGGCGAGUAGGUUUUCCCAUGGUCAUGAUGAUCAGAUGUUUGUUGGAAUAAACGAAUCCCUGAUGUUCUAGUGUACAGUGAAUGAGUGUCCAAGCCAGUUUAUUUUUGUCACUUAGGGUUCCGCCUGAACCACUAAGCCAAUCUGAUACCAGUAAGCCAUCCAGCCCAAUCAGCCCUUCAACACUCAACGGACCGGACUCGUCGUCCACUGAUGGUCUUUCCGGAAUGUGCCGCCCGCGCCGCGCUCAGCGGAGAGGGCGCACUCGCCUGACAUGCCUGAAUCUCACUCCACAGUACGCAGUCCACCUCAUGGCCUCACAAGCCUUCCAACUAUCUGGUGAUUCUUACAUAGAGCCACCAUUCCUAAAGCCAACUACACGAUGUAUGCCAUCACCAUCCUGUGAUUGAGACCGUAGCUGCAGAUUCCUCCUUGAUGUGCCAUGGUACCGGCUGUCCUCGUCGGAUCCUGUUCCACUACUCGUUGAGUUUGCUCGAUACUUUUUCAGAGUGCAUAGCUCUUGGCCAACCAGCAUUGAAUGAGUUCACUGUUUGUCCUCUUCCUUUCACCGAGGAACCGUCUCAAGAAUGACCCUCCAUGUGCUCUGACCUGAAUGUUGAUUGCUGUGUUUACUGAGGCCUUUUAUGGAGAUGCAAUUACGAAGAAGCAUAGGCAAAAGAACAUCAGUGAACCAAGCUGGGUGAAGUGGUUGGUUCCUGUCUACCGUGGUCCUUGGAGGGGUUCACCUCACAGACUUGGCCAGUACAAAUAGGGUGCUCCUAAUUUCAAUUAUUACAUUUGCCAAAAAAGUGUCCAUCAUUGUCUUGACACAGUAAACAGAGUUUCCGGCUUGCAAAUAAUCACAUUUUAAAGCUUAGCUGCAAUUUCAUUUUUUAAGAAUUUUUCUGGAAUUUUGUACGCUUGUUCUUUGUGUAAAAACUCUUUUACAUUUCUUUUUGGUUACAUUGAAAAUUGCACUUUUUAGCAUUUAAAACUAUCCAAGCUUUCCUGGACAACUGAGGGCGCUAUUGUUGUGAAGUCCUGGGAAGGCAUAUUUCAGCGCAUGGGUUUUUAAUAUUUCUGAUAAAGGGAUUAAUGCUUGCUUAUUGCUAUGAACAAAAAACAACAAUGAAUCAAUAAAGAGGAGAAAUUUAAAGUCCAGCAAAAUCUACAAAAUGAAAGA
Molecule: long non-coding RNA, 1664 nt
Filed under: Acanthaster planci (crown-of-thorns starfish)
Lineage: Eukaryota; Metazoa; Echinodermata; Asteroidea; Valvatida; Acanthasteridae
Description: uncharacterized LOC110982424, transcript variant X1
Source: RNAcentral